RNAcentral lists this unclassified non-coding RNA (306 nucleotides) under plant metagenome. RNAcentral describes it as "partial contains 5.8S ribosomal RNA, internal transcribed spacer 2, and large subunit ribosomal RNA". The stretch from base 1 to 105 matches the Rfam family "5.8S ribosomal RNA", at positions 50 to 154 of the family's 154-position model. The record is from RNAcentral.
GAAAUGCGAUAAGUAAUGUGAAUUUCAGAAUUCCGUGAAUCAUCGAAUCUUUGAACGCACAUUGCGCCCUCUGGCAUUCCGGGGGGCAUGCCUGUCCGAGCGUCAUUUCAACCAUCAAGCCCCGCGCUUGUGUUGGGGACCUGCGGCUGCCGCAGGCCCUGAAAACCAGUGGCGGGCUCGCUGUCACACCGAGCGUAGUAGAUUUCUCAUCUCGCUCAGGGCGUGCUGCGGGUUCCGGCCGUAAAAAAGCCUUAUUUUACCCAAGGUUGACCUCGGAUCAGGUAGGAAGACCCGCUGAACUUAAGC